RNAcentral lists this non-coding RNA (85 nucleotides) under unclassified sequences. The record is from RNAcentral.
AUUUUACUGCCACCGGGUAGUAUCACAAAACAUUCGCCGUGCGUCGUUAGGUCUUUGAAGACGCUCGGACGGGUGUUUUUUUAUU